CAUGGCUCAGAGUGAACGCUGGCGGCGUGCUUAACACAUGCAAGUCGAACGGAGAGAAAGAAGUUUACUUUUUUCUCUUAGUGGCGCACGGGUGAGUAAUGUAUAGCUAACAUGCCCUUUAGAGGGGGAUAACAGUUGGAAACGACUGCUAAUACCCUCAUACUCCUUCUUUCUUAAUGAGAGUCGGGAAAGUUUUUCGCUAAAGGAUUGGGCUAUAUGGUAUCAGCUUGUUGGUGAGGUAACGGCUCACCAAGGCUAUGACACCUAGCUGGUCUGAGAGGAUGAUCAGCCACACUGGAACUGAGACACGGUCCAGACUCCUACGGGAGGCAGCAGUGGGGAAUAUUACACAAUGGAGGAAACUCUGAUGUAGCAACGCCGCGUGGAGGAUGACACAUUUCGGUGCG
Molecule: ribosomal RNA, 407 nt
Filed under: uncultured bacterium
Lineage: Bacteria
Description: bacterial SSU rRNA
Rfam family: Bacterial small subunit ribosomal RNA
Source: RNAcentral